Molecule: ribosomal RNA, 500 nt
Filed under: uncultured bacterium
Lineage: Bacteria
Description: partial 16S ribosomal RNA
Rfam family: Bacterial small subunit ribosomal RNA
Source: RNAcentral
AUUGAACGCUGGCGGAAUGCUUUACACAUGCAAGUCGAACGGUAGCACGGACUUCGGUCUGGUGGCGAGUGGCGAACGGGUGAGUAAUGUACCGGAACGUGCCCAGUCGUGGGGGAUAACGUAGUGAAAAUUACGCUAAUACCGCAUACGAUCUAUGGAUGAAAGCGGGGGAUCGCAAGACCUCGCGCGAUUGGAGCGGCCGAUAUCAGAUUAGGUAGUUGGUGGGGUAAAGGCCCACCAAGCCAACGAUCUGUAGCUGGUCUGAGAGGACGACCAGCCACACUGGAACUGAGACACGGUCCAGACUCCUACGGGAGGCAGCAGUGGGGAAUUUUGGACAAUGGGCGAAAGCCUGAUCCAGCCAUUCCGCGUGCAGGAUGAAGGCCCUCGGGUUGUAAACUGCUUUUGUACAGAACGAAAAGGUUUCUACUAAUACUAGGAGCUCAUGACGGUACUGUAAGAAUAAGCACCGGCUAACUACGUGCCAGCAGCCGCGGUAA